This is a long non-coding RNA of Cygnus olor (mute swan), 5065 nucleotides long. RefSeq lists it as uncharacterized. The transcript has 3 exons. The record is from RefSeq and is a predicted model, not a curated record. Lineage: Eukaryota; Metazoa; Chordata; Aves; Anseriformes; Anatidae.
GGUGAGUUUGGAAGGACUCUUCUGGAGAUACUGUUAGCUGACAGAAGCAAGUUUUCGCACAGAUUGAUGGAAACGCAGCGAUAAUCAACGCUCUUGUGAGCUGAAGCAUCUUCCGGCUCUUUCUUUUCCUGCCUUCUUUUGGGCACCGCGGUGGCCUUCAGAGUAUCAAAGAGGAGCAAAUCAUGCCCAGGCACGUACUGAGCUCUGCCCUCCCAAACUGGAGGUGCCAGGCUGCAAGAGAGGAGCCAGAGUGCCAGCUGGGCAGCUGCAUUUGGAAAUAUCAGUACCUGAGCAUCAGGUUCAGAUAAGAGGCAAUUUGCAAUUGUCACACAUUUUCUACCUUUUCCAUUUUAUUUUUUUGUGCAUGGUUAAUGUGAGGGGGAGGACAGCAGACCUUAUCUCCUGCGACUAGUGGUGGCAAAACUGAAAAAUUGUUUUCAUUACCAGGUGGAAGGCUUUUCACAUGCAAAUUGUCAAUAUCAUUGUGAUGUGGCAUUUUUAUUAAUCCAAACCAGCUUAUCUGACCAAAAAGAAAGAAAGAUCAUUCUGUUUCAUAUCAAACAUUUUGUUCUGACAAUGGUAAGUUGUAUUUAAUGAAACGUUGCAUGGACGAUCACACUUUUUUGUAAUUUACUGCAGGAGAGGAAGAAAUAGAAUGGACUAAUGGGUGAGGUUGGGUUUCUUUGUUGGUGGUGUUUGUUUGGGAUUUUUUGUUGGGUUGUUUUUUUUUUUCCCUUUGCUCUUUUUUUGGACAGUUCUCCUAAAUACCAGUCAAAUGAUGCCAGCUUAUGAAAGCUUUUUAACUUCUCUCCUUCUACAUCAAAGAAACCGAUCUGCUGUUACAGAUAUGCAUAUUUUUGUCUCUCUAUUGUGUGCACUUCCCCUUCAGACACUGGGAAAAUAAGGUCACGUUCCCUAUUGAGUCCAUCCUUUUCUAUUGAUUUAACUUUCUUAAAAUCCUAAUAGAGCUUGAAAUUAAUACAGUUUAAUUUUCUUCGCCCUUUCUUGUGAACCACCAAAGGUUUUUUGUUGCUGCUACACCACUUUGGUAAUAAAGACUGUGACAGGCUUGGAUUCCUCCUUCUGAUGGCAAAAAUCCCUGAGAAGAGAAAAUCAAUGAGGGUUAUAGCUCCAUCCAAGGAAAAUAAGGGCUUUUCCUUUCAGCCUAUGAGAUGAGGAGCAGGGAUGCUUUUUGAGGCAAUUCAGCAGGGAGCAGACCACAAAGUCUUGGACCCUUCUGAUGUGGCUAAAUUCAGAUUCACCAACAUUAGGCCAUCUCCCAAGGCCUCGGCUAGGGCUGUGUCUCAGUGCUAUGCCUUAAAAGUGAACCACAUUCACAUUCCCAUGUCUAGGACACAAUAAUUUCCCCAGCAUUUGGGAGUCCUUUAAUAAGACUCCUCGUUCCUGCAGGAGGGAGGCGAAUGUACUUUAGUAUCAGACCUGGCUGCUUUGGGAUCUGGCUGGGAAAAGAUUUAUCCAAGGGCAAAUAAAGCCUGCAAGCUGCCUGGUUAUUACCAGUGUUCCUCCAUCAACAUGCAAAGGGGCUGUGGACUCUUUAUGUCGGAGUGGUAUCCCCAGUCCCUUGCCAUGGGCUGUGCAACAAGGUGGGGAGCACUGAACCUACAGCAUCGGCAUCCUUCCCUCCUGCUGAUGAACCUACUGGGGAGGAAAAGACAUCGCACCCCUUGCCAGCUGCUUGCCCAUCACCAGAGGAACCACGGUUUCAUUGGAGAAAGCACCUGGAGGCCGGCUCCUUGACAGUAAUGGGGCAAUGAAACGUCGCGACCCUGGUUAGUCCAGGCUCCCAUCCAUCAUGCCUGUUUAUCCCGUCAGAGCACUGUUUAGCUGUAUAAAAUGGGCUGUAAACUUUGUUCACUUUGGCUGACAGCUAUGAUAAAGGCUAUGUGCAUUUUACAGCCUCACGAAUUGGAAGGAGAAAGGUCCCCCGAGACCUCCCGCUACUCCAGGUCCCAUCAUCUGUCAUGGCACAGGAACGACCCAGUGGUCGUCUUCUCCAGCCCCCCUUCGCUUGGUCAGGUGCCGCUACCUUUCUUGGUGACGGAUUAAAAACAUGUUAAAUAUGUAUUAUUUUUGCACUCUCUGCAUAUCCGUGCCUUUCAUAUCCACAUCUUAAAUUCAUCCUCUCUGUCAGUUGUUUGUAAAUGUCCCUAGGUGUUUAACUCUUAUUCCCUGAAUCCUCUGAGCUAUUGUUGGUGAAUAUGGCUAUUACAUAUUCCUGGUAUUUCUGAAAGGUCAAAAGAAAAUGUAAAAGUGCCAUUCAUUUCUUUUCUUUUCUCCCUUCAAAGCUGCAAAAUGCAAUAUUGUUCUGGUGCAGUUACUCUUGCCGUUACGCAAAGAUUUUUUUUUUCAAUACACCUUUUUGUAUUUACUGCAAGUGUUCAGGAUACAGAAUUAUUUCCUCAAAUUAUUAAAAACUAGAAGAUAUAAUAGCCUUUUAUUCUGUUUCAGAACAUAUUACUCUACCACAACAGUCUAUUUUCGACAGUUUGCUCUCAUCUUCCUGCAACCCAUCUUACAAAUGAGACAUAAAAUUGAGGCUCCGGAUGCUUAUGGACCCAAUCCUGCAGCAUUUAUGCACCUGUUUAAGUUGAAUCAUGUGAGGAUUCGCAGUGGAUUGAACGAGGGGAAUGACUAAUACUUGAGGAACUAUGGCAAUUGCUCCAAAGCAGUUUGCAGCUCUUCAGGAUAAAGAGCAAUGCAUAAAGCUAGGAUGCAUUAUCUCCUCCUCCACCAAUUCUGGCCAGGAUGCUCUAAAAGAUGGACUCAGAGCAAAUGCAGAAUAAAAUGUACUCGCCUGCAGCCAGUACCUGGUACACUCAUUUCUUGCUAUCCCUACCAAAAGACUCCUGGUUGAGCAGAAGUUGGCCGUCAGCAAUGCAACAAAAUGCAACAAAAUCACCGGGUUUUCACCACGGAGUUGCACUUAGUUAUGUUACAAAGCCUCGUUAAUUGAUUACAACAUGAUUCAGCAAGCUGCACUCUUCCUGACUCUUCUCCAUAGCUUGCUGCCUCUCCAUUCAGAACCCGGCUGCGCUCCAAGGGUCUGGUCCCUGCGUUUGAAGCCCAAGCAGCUGAACCUUUCUCUCUGACCUACAUCUUUCAUAGGAAUAAAGCAACAGAUGACACCAAGUACAGGAUUCACAGAGCUCUUUGUGCAAGCCCCUACAGCAGAGCUCCCCAGUGAAGGGCAUCAAGCUUAACUCUCAGCUCACUCUGCAAGGAGGCUUUUUCAUUCCACUUAAUAGCAGCAUUUCCACCGACUUAUGCAGCAGCGGAGUCAAAUCCCAGCAUGUCUUUUAACACCAGCUACUCCUCGGCAGAAGGAGCAUCUCGGCAAAUUGGACAUCCCUGCCUCCUGCGAGGUUUCUUCCAGGCAAACCCACUCCCACCGCACGCAGAACGAUCCCCCACUUUUUUGCUCAGCCUCCGUCGGGCUUUCUGUUCUUGCACAUCGCCACCGUGAUUGGCAACUGAAGCAGAAAGAUCAGACAAAAGAAGGCUGAGGCACCACCUGGGACGGAGCUGAAAGAGAUGCAGGAGCAGAUAUCUCCAUCUGCCUCCUCAAGGCUUUGUGAGGCCGGGAUGCCAGCUGCGGUGUGGUGCUCCCGGAUCCCAGGGGACCGCUGCUCUGCCCCGCUGCAUCUCAGGAAGCCCCGAUGGCAGCGCCAGCACCACCAAGGUCACCUUCCUCAUCUUCAGGCCGGUCACACUGCUGCGACACUCCAGAGUAUGGUGAGCUAUAGGAGUCCAGAAAGGAUAAAGCAGAAGGAAAAGGAGUGUUUUCUUGGGUGUAUGCAGAAGGUAAAUUAUGGGGCUACUUACAGUACCUAAAAUCACUUUCUCUCCAGGGGCCUGAAUAUGCUCUAUUAGAAAAUCUGCAUAUGAGCCUGUAAAUGUGCCAUAUAUGCUAUAGUGUAGUUGUACCAGACUCACCUGUGUUGUAUUUUUUACCUAUAAAUGUGACGGUGAUGUGCUUGUCUCCUCUUUUUACAAGCGUUUCACCAAUCCCCAGGAAAGCAAACCUCCCGCAACGGGCUCCUUCUCCCAUUUAAUCCAGAUAAAGAGGAAAGUCUUCCACGGAAAGCGUGCACACAAAACCCGUGUUAGGCACCCCGGUGUACACGGGCAUGCUCUGCCCCACUGCAAGGCACCUCAGCACCCCUGCUAGGAAUCGCAGGACGAGAUCGACAGCCCUCCCGUGCCCUAAGCAUCGCACUUCUGUGUCGAUGCAAAAAGCCACGCACAAAAGGGAAAAUGGCAGCUUUCCAAGUGGCCCCAGUUAAUAGCUCUGUUUUGCUUAAUGGUGCCUCCCAUUCAGACUAAAGAUGCUGUUUUAAAUAUGUAAGCAAUUAGUAUCUCUCUCUCUCGCAACACAUCUGUGCUCCUUCUAUCUGCUGCAUUACAAAUCUGCUGCGUCCCUCUCCAGCUCGGCGGCGCGUGUAUCGCCAGAUAUCCUGGUCUUCAGCAACUUUCUGGGCUGCAGGAAUGACGGCUGGCUGCGGAGGUGCUCCUGCCUGGCCCUGCCUAAGCCCUCGGCACCGCCAUCCUCUCCUCCCCAGCUGGUGCGGGGCUGACAUAUAAUAACGGUGCAGGGAAAGGGACCUUUUGGUCUGGUUUUGGCCAUUCUUCUGUCCGGCCUGAUGUUUUUUCCUUCUUCCCAGCUGCCACUUUCAGACACUUUUGUCUCCCUUUCUGGAGAGGAGCGGCAGCCUUUUCUCUCCGUACCAAACCGCAGGUUGCCCACGGGAGCGUGGCCGGGAUGCACCCAGUGGUUUCUGCUCAGUGAAUUCUGCCACAAUUAAUUCUGCCUGUUCAAACUCCUGUCCGAUUUUGGGAGUCACGGCAGGGCCGGUGUGCUUACGCAUUUACGAUACACAAAGAAUUAUUGUUACCACAUAGUGAGAGGGGUAGGUGCGAUUCGUUACCGAGCACCGCUGCGUGCACAGCGCUUUGCGACCCCAAAAGCCCCUCUUUAGGAACAGACGUGCCCACCAGCAUCCCUCCAGCCUCGUUUUGGGCAGACCCCCCCCCGGCCCCCAGGGGC